Molecule: ribosomal RNA, 420 nt
Filed under: uncultured eukaryote
Lineage: Eukaryota
Description: SSU rRNA
Rfam family: Eukaryotic small subunit ribosomal RNA
Source: RNAcentral
CAAUAGCGUAUAUUAAAGUUGUUGCGGUUAAAAAGCUCGUAGUUGGAUUUCUGUCGAGGACGACCGGUCCGCCCUCUGGGUGAGCAUCUGGUUUGGCCUGGGCAUCUUCUUGGGGAACGUAGCUGCACUUGACUGUGUGGUGCGGUAUCCAGGACUUUUACUUUGAGGAAAUUAGAGUGUUUCAAGCAGGCGCACGCCUUGAAUACAUUAGCAUGGAAUAAUAAGAUAGGACCUCGGUUCUAUUUUGUUUGGUUUCUAGAGCUGAGGUAAUGAUUAAUAGGGAUAGUUGGGGGCGAUUAGUAUUUAAUUGUCAGAGGUGAAAUUCUUGGAUUUAUUGAAAGACUAACUACUGCGAAAGCAUUUGUCCAAGGAUGUUUUCUAUUAAUCAAGAACGAAAGUUAGGGAGUCGAAGACGAUCAG